UGCUGACCAUGGCGAUGUGAAUUGUC
Molecule: non-coding RNA, 26 nt
Filed under: Homo sapiens (human)
Lineage: Eukaryota; Metazoa; Chordata; Mammalia; Primates; Hominidae
Source: RNAcentral